GCACCCGCGGAGGAUGAGGCAUCGCCUUCUUUGGUUUUUGGCGUCGCGGGUCGUCGGGUGAUGUACCAUCUCGUGAUCAGCAAUUUUGCUGAUUCAAAAUCAUUC
RNAcentral lists this small RNA (105 nucleotides) under bovine gut metagenome. RNAcentral's name for it is "RT-5 RNA". It matches the Rfam family "RT-5 RNA". From Rfam's summary of the family: Clostridium (Firmicutes). Environment (Cow rumen (57)) The record is from RNAcentral. RNAcentral also lists the same sequence under 1 other name.